GACGAACGCUGGCGGCGUGCCUAAUACAUGCAAGUAGAACGCACAGUUUAUACCGUAGCUUGCUACACCAUAGACUGUGAGUUGCGAACGGGUGAGUAACGCGUAGGUAACCUGCCUGGUAGCGGGGGAUAACUAUUGGAAACGAUAGCUAAUACCGCAUAAUAUUGAUUAUUGCAUGAUAAUUAAUUGAAAGGUGCAAUUGCACCACUACCAGAUGGACCUGCGUUGUAUUAGCUAGUAGGUGAGGUAACGGCUCACCUAGGCGACGAUACAUAGCCGACCUGAGAGGGUGAUCGGCCACACUGGGACUGAGACACGGCCCAGACUCCUACGGGAGGCAGCAGUAGGGAAUCUUCGGCAAUGGACGAAAGUCUGACCGAGCAACGCCGCGGGAGUGAAGAAGGUUUUCGGAUCGUAAAGCUCUGUUGUAAGGGAAGAACGGGUGUGAGAGUGGAAAGUUCACACUGUGACGGUAUCUUACCAGAAAGGGACGGCUAACUACGUG
RNAcentral lists this ribosomal RNA (505 nucleotides) under uncultured bacterium. RNAcentral's name for it is "partial 16S ribosomal RNA". It matches the Rfam family "Bacterial small subunit ribosomal RNA", at positions 28 to 507 of the family's 1533-position model. The record is from RNAcentral.